AUACCAAUACAAUAUUAUUCCCUAUCCAAAUAAAUAACCUACAUUUUAAUACCCAACCCACAUUUAUAUCAGCCCAUAUUUAAAUUAAUAGGCCGGCCCAAAACGGACCAGCCCAAGAAUUAUCAGACCCGACCCAUUCUUAAUUUCCUAAACCUAAACCCUCACGCCUGCCUCCUCUUUCUUUUUCUCAUCUCCGUCGCCCCUCAUCUCUUUCUCCCUUUUCUUUCUUCAUCUUCGCCGCCGCCCCUCACCCUUUUCCACCUCAUCUCAUCGCCACCCUUCUUCCGCCGCACCUCUCUUCCCUCUCUCUCUUCAUCAUCGUUCCUUUCCUCCCCUUUAUCCUAAACCCUAGCCGCCGCGCACACACCUCACACUCUCUCCUUCUCCUCUGACUUCGCCCAUACUCCACUACUCCAUCUGACACCCUCCACCAUGCCUCUGUCCUUUGUCCCCCACGCCUCACGUUCUCCCCACUUCGUUCCACCAUCUCUGCCACCUCCACACUCCCUUGUCCCCCACGCCUAUCUCUUCCAUAUUCCCUUUGUCCCCCGCUUCGUCUCUCUCAUACGCUCCUCCCUUUGCCUCAAAUACAAACGAAUCCCUAUAAAUGUAAUCGGGGUGGAAUCGUUUGAGGAGGGGAUUCGAUUCUGGAGAAAAGGGAGGGUUGAGUGGUUAAAGGGGAAAAACCCGAUGAACUGAGACAAAACAAGGAAUCAGCAUUUUUGAUUGGAAAGAAUAGAUGGCAUUCAACAUUUUGGGGAAAUUCCAUUACUUUAGAAGUUCGAAUCUGCUUCACUUUAAGUUUGUUUCGAACCAUUUUUAUUUACGUUUUUUUUUAGGAUUACUAAAAACAAACCAAACUUCCUUUUAAAAAGAGUGUUCGGUUCUGUCGAAUUUUUUGAUUCGAAAGACUUUUUCUCGAGUUCGAAUUCGUCGCGUUCAAGUGUAGAUUCGAGACCAUCGACACCCACUUCACUGCACCACAAACAGGUAUGCAUUUGCAUCGGAGUACAACAAAUGACGAAGAUCAAGGGCAUCACAAAUGAAGCUAGAAGUUAGGCAUAGAAAUUUUAUUUACUUUAUUUAGAUUAGGAAACACUUUAUGUUGUAUUCAUUUGACAUGUAAUAAAUAUUACAUUAUUUUUUACUUUUGAGAAAUAGAAUCUGUUUAAUUAAUCAAAGCAACGGGAUGACAUAUUAUGGCA
Molecule: long non-coding RNA, 1205 nt
Organism: Lycium barbarum (goji berry)
Lineage: Eukaryota; Viridiplantae; Streptophyta; Magnoliopsida; Solanales; Solanaceae
Exons: 2
Source: RefSeq, a predicted model, not a curated record